UGCUGAGUGGACGCCCCAGGAGUUCAUGGCCUCCUAUUAUUUAGCAGAUUUGUUUUUGCAUCCUGGCUGAAGCUUCUAGUGAGAGAGCAGAACCCGCAUUAGGAUUAUAUAUGUGCCUUUGCACCGACCCGGGGGCAGAACCUAACAAAUGUGUGGGGUGAAUUGGUUUCCCAAAGGGACACUACUGAGAAGCUGGCUCACUAAGUCCCGGCCCACACUCCUGCUGCUCAUCGCUGGACUGAAGCGGCCGCAGGUCACCCUCAUGAGGAGGAAAAGGAUGAAACGCACAAAAGUUGCAAAGGCCACGUAAGGGAACCUCAAAUCGAAUGCCCCAUUUCACUUGAGUCCUUGGUACAGAGAACACCUGAACCUGCAUUAGAUAUGGAAGACCAGGACACCACUGAAGAAUCACACUUUCAGUCAAGGCUGAAGAGAGGAACUAAAAGCCAGAGAGAACAGAAAAGGGACUCAACACUUAUUACAAAAACACGGAAUUGAGCACAGAAAACAACCCCACACAAAUUAAUCAUUUUAUUCAUACACAGUAACGUGUACAUCAUCUCUUAAAUACACAUUUAUUAUGAUUCAUUAUAUUACAAAGAGUGUGACUGUAAAUUAUUUACAUUCUGUGCCAACAUUUAGUUUAAUAACAUAAUCGAUAGCCCCGUCUCUGGUGAUUUAUUUCUGGUACAGCGCCUGAUGUUUAGAAUAACUGAGCUUGAGGAAGUAAAACAGUGGCACUCCAAAAGUGCAGGGUGGUGAUAAACCAACAGGCAGCUUCUACAUUAAACAGCUUAUGCCAAGACCAGUUUCCCCAAACGAACCAUCAGCCCAACCAGAAAAUGCCAGUUUGGGGCAAAAUAUUUCUCAUUAGCACUGGCCACUGAUAGCAGAGUCCAGCCAAUAAGCAAAGUACACACUUCAGCAAUCCUAAAUUACAACAGCGCUGCAUUAAGGAAACUGAAACAGACAUCCAGGAUCUUGUAAGAACAACUAACAGCAGUUAAAACUUCAGAACCCAUCACCCACUUGCUCAGGCUCGAGAGCCAAUUAAGGCCAUAAAACAGAUCUUUUAAGCCACCAGCUUUCAUAUCAAUGCAUACUUAUUACUGGCUAUAACCAUGAAGUAAAUUUUUAACAGUCAGUAUACAAAGAUUAAAGAAAAUAAUCCUUACAAAUACCAAUGUAAAUUUGAGUAAAACUGAGUAAAAUGGAUUCUUCCAAUGAUUUACUGCAUAGGUGGCACGCCAAUAUUGUGACCGUGUUUGUAGGCAAACAAUCGUUUGUAGAUUAAACUUAACUUGGCUAAAAUCCAGGUUGUCAUUUGGAGUUUUCAAAGAAUCUUACCAAUCAUACAGUUAAGAGUUAAUGGUGUUGUUUAAUGGAACAAGUCUACUCAACUACUACUGAAUGUGUUCCUUCUGUUUGAGAUUAAGAUCUGUUUUUAUAUAUCUGGUUAAAAUGUCCAGUUUAGGAAUUUUCUUUCUAUUAUUCCUCACUGUUUGUAUUUUAUUUUAUUUUAUUACAUCAGGGAAACAGCAACAGUCACCGGUGACCUUCACCUUUAUGAAUAUCAUAUUUCAUUUGUUGAGUAAAAGAUGCAGUUUUGCUGUA
Anguilla rostrata (American eel) is the source of this 1614-nucleotide long non-coding RNA. RefSeq lists it as uncharacterized. The transcript is spliced from 3 exons. Lineage: Eukaryota; Metazoa; Chordata; Actinopteri; Anguilliformes; Anguillidae. The record is from RefSeq and is a predicted model, not a curated record.